This is a long non-coding RNA of Tympanuchus pallidicinctus (lesser prairie-chicken), 683 nucleotides long. RefSeq lists it as uncharacterized. The transcript has 3 exons. The record is from RefSeq and is a predicted model, not a curated record. NCBI's taxonomy places the organism in Eukaryota, Metazoa, Chordata, Aves, Galliformes, Phasianidae.
UGGCCAUGUUGAAUUAAUUAUGAAGAAACUAGGAAUGUAUUCAUUUUAAUAGCUUCCUGAUGCAUGGACUCUUUUGUCUCUCUUCCUCUGUUGCUUGAAAACAUACAACAGCAAUACCCUCCUGCUCCUCACUUCCUCCCUCCCCUUUUCCUCUGCUAACAUACUAUGUUAAAUAUGCUAACUUUUUUUUCAGUAGUUGAAAUCAGUUUUGGAGCAGUAAGAGUCACACCCUUGCUAUAAUCAAGAUUUACUUUUUCUAAGCUAAGGCCAAGACUUGUUCUUGUAGAAGCUGCUUAAUGAGUCUACCUUGGAUAGCUUCAUGUGGGUUUUGGAUUUCUCCCAAGGCUAAUGUGGCACAGCUGAGGCACUGCUCUAGUGAUGAGCUGACAUGUCUAGAGAUGACUACCUCCUGUCCUUUAAAAAGCAAUGAAGUAGCCAUAGUAGCCCCUUUGCUUUUCCUCAUAGGUUGUGGGAUCCUUCCAGAAGCAAGACAGAGAGGAAGGCUGAUGUCACUGGAGCAAGCCCAUUUCCAAAAAAACCCACUGUUACUCAGAAGACAGUUUUCAUCUUCUUAUGAAAUACGUGUGAAAGAAAAAGAAGCAGCUGCGCCAAAGAGCCCAGUAACCCAGAAGUUUCCUGUCCUAUUCUUUCCUAUGGAGAAUGCUGGGAUUUGGAAGCUCUCA